RNAcentral lists this ribosomal RNA (351 nucleotides) under Dendrophilus punctatus. RNAcentral describes it as "partial 12S ribosomal RNA". Lineage: Eukaryota; Metazoa; Arthropoda; Insecta; Coleoptera; Histeridae. The record is from RNAcentral.
GCAUAUUUUAGAGCUAAAAUCAUAUUAAUUAAAUAAUUUAUAUUACUAUCAAAUCCGAUUUCAUUAUUAAUUUUAAAUAAUAAAUCCAAAAAAUAAAUUUAAUGUAAUCCAUCUCUCCUUGCCCAUAAGCUGCACCUUGAUCUGAUUUAUUUUAUAAUUAAAAAUCAUGAAAAUUCAAAUCCUUUAAGAAUUCUCAAACUACGACGGUAUACAAACUUCUAAGACAAGUAAUAUUAAUCGUGGAAUAUCAAUUACAGGACAGAUUCCUCUGAAUAGACUAAAAAACCGCCAAAUUCUUUAAUUUUCAAGAACAUAUCUACUACUAACCUAAAAUUUAUAUUUAAUUCUAAA